CCCUUAGAUGUCCUGGGCCGCACGCGCGCUACACUGAUGUAUUCAACGAGUAUUUCCUUGGCCGAGAGGCCUGGGCAAUCUUUUAAACCUGCAUCGUGAUAGGGAUAGAUUAUUGCAAUUAUUAAUCUUGAACGAGGAAUUCCUAGUAAACGCAAAUCAUCAAUUUGCAUUGAUUACGUCCCUGCCCUUUGUACACACCGCCCGUCGCACCUACCGAUUGAAUGGUCCGGUGAAAUCUCGGGAUUGUGGCCAGUUCACUUUAUUGGGAGUUGGCUGCGAGAACUUGCUUAAACCUUAUCAUUUAGAGGAAGGUGAAGUCGUAACA
Molecule: ribosomal RNA, 325 nt
Filed under: uncultured eukaryote
Lineage: Eukaryota
Description: partial 18S ribosomal RNA
Rfam family: Eukaryotic small subunit ribosomal RNA
Source: RNAcentral